This 252-nucleotide ribosomal RNA is filed under the name uncultured bacterium. RNAcentral describes it as "partial 16S ribosomal RNA". It matches the Rfam family "Bacterial small subunit ribosomal RNA", at positions 524 to 776 of the family's 1533-position model. The record is from RNAcentral.
UACAUAGGCUACAAAAGUUAUUCGGAUUGACUGGGCGUAAAGGAUGCGUAGGCGGUUUUGUAAGUCUAAAGUUAAAGGCUGAGGCUUAACCUUAGUUUGCUUUAGAAACUACAUAACUAGAGUGUAGAAGAGGUUAGUGGAAUUUUGCAUGUAGCGGUGAAAUGUUUAGAUAUGCAAAGGAACACCAGAGGCGAAAGCGACUAACUGGUCUAUUACUGACGCUGAGGCAUGAAAGCGUGGGGAGCAAAUAGG